Molecule: long non-coding RNA, 1844 nt
Organism: Siniperca chuatsi (mandarin fish)
Lineage: Eukaryota; Metazoa; Chordata; Actinopteri; Centrarchiformes; Sinipercidae
Exons: 2
Source: RefSeq, a predicted model, not a curated record
GGUAAUCGACAUCCAAAUCAGCAUCUGCAUGCUUUGUUGUUUUUAUUACGUGUGCAUUUCCCCAAAAAUCGCCACGAAAUAAGAAAUAGUAAUCGAACGUACGUAACAGCGCGUUCUGUCGGGAGAUGCAGUGACUCGAACCAACAGCAACCCGACGUGAGUGAAGUGUUUGUGGCUUGGCAUUGUGUAGCUUGGCUCUGUUGUGGGGACCAGACUGCGGCAUAAAGUACGGUUUUCAAACCUAAACCACGACCAUGCGACAGAAGUAGCCCCCCUUUCAGGUACGAGCUCCUAGUUUUGUCUGGGCUGUUCGGAGUUACGUCUGUUUGUGUUGCCUUCAUGCAGUGUGAGUGUGUGUGUGUGUGUGCAGGUAUUACUCAUGUUGUGGGGACAUAAUCUGUUUACAGUCACAUUGCGGGGACUCGCCUUCCUUUUGGGGACUAAACCCACGUCCCCAUAACGUAAGUCAUUAACUUUUAGGGUGAAGACUUGGUUUAAGGGAGGGUAAGAUCAGGACGUGGUAGGCUAGUAGUGGUUAUGGUCAGGGUCAGUCUCCAGGAGAUGAAUGUAAGUCAAUGUAAAGUCCUCUGAAGUGCUGGAAACACGACUGUGUGUGUUAAUGAAUCAAACACAGGUACAAGAAGAAUAACACAGUUUUAUUAAAAUUUAAUUUGGCUACAUUUAUUCGAGCAUGGUCAUUUCCAAGAGAAAUUAAAAAUUCAAUAAUACAUUUCAGGAAUUCCUUCACCAUCACCAUCACCAUCAUCAUCAUCAUCAGUCCUUCCUCAUCUCUUCAGUUGGAUGAAUAAAGUGGAUUUUUUUUUUAACUCUCAAAAAUACAGUGUUUUAACAAAAAUCAUCGUAUCAAAAGUUCCCCAAAUUUAGAAUUUCCAGUAGUUUCAAAGGAAAUAAAACAAAAACAAAAAAAUUGAAAUUUUCCAAAUACCAUAGACACUCUCUAUUCAUAGUUUUGCUCCAAUAGUCAAUGACAGAAUCAUUUUUACUAAAAUAUAUCUAUUUGUGAGGAACUCUAAUACUGUACACUACAGUAUGAAAUAAAUAAAAUUAGGAAAUAUAAAAUGAGUCACAUAAAUAAAAUGGUAAAUUCUCAAAUAAAACAUUUUUUUUUUUUAAAUUUGUGUUGGAAAAUUCAACAAAAACAAAAAAGUAAUACUGACAAAAAAUACUGUCAUGGAACAAAAAAAUACUGAAAAUUGCACAAACAUAUGUAAACUAACAAACUGCCGUCUAUCUAAGCUAAUACUGACGAAUCAAAAACAAGAUGAAAUAUUCAUUUUUAAUAGUGAAGCAGAGCAGAGAGGACACAGGUGAUGUACACUGUACAGGGAUGGCACUUUGCAGAAACGCACAGGUGAAAAGGUUUGCAUAUAAGGCUUUCUCUGGAGAAAAAAUUCAACACACAAAAAAAGGCUCUGUCCUUUUUUAUUUUUAUCUUUUUAAAACGGAGCCCUUUCAUAUUACGCUCCAUCCUCUCCUUUUUAAGACUCACAUCGACAUUUUAUUUUGAAAAUCACACAGGUUUAAAUGUUCCUUCACAUAAAAAAAAAAAAAAAAACAUCAGGAGGCCCAAAGUCGUGUGGUUAGUUGGCAAAAACAAUAAAACAGGAUAAAAAUAAAAAACGUCACAGUAAAAGGAGACAGAAAAUACAACAAUAACACUGACAGGAAGUGAUCGAGUGUUCGAGGCUUUUUCCCCUCUUUUUUUAAACAUUUUUUUUUAUUUUGUAGUGAUUCGGGGAGUCGAGUGCAAUUUCCUGAUGUGGGGGUUCGAACACAACGAGACACGGGAAGUUAAGAACAUUAUAGCACCACACAGCUUUUAG